This is an RNA transcript of Helianthus annuus (common sunflower), 2821 nucleotides long. It is a transcript of the gene named G-type lectin S-receptor-like serine/threonine-protein kinase LECRK3, with no coding region annotated. The transcript is spliced from 3 exons. The record is from RefSeq and is a predicted model, not a curated record. NCBI's taxonomy places the organism in Eukaryota, Viridiplantae, Streptophyta, Magnoliopsida, Asterales, Asteraceae.
CACAGAAGUCUAUUCAUUAUGUAAGGCUUUUCUAUCAUCACCACAAAAGACUUCCUGUGUAUGGGUGGACUUCAAAAGUCUUUCAGUGACUUAAAAGCGAUCAUCUUCAUUCUUAAAAACUCCUAUUUUAAUUUGUUACUGUUUUUUACCAUUCAAGCAUUUUCCUAUGGCCUUAAUUCCAAUUUGUCUCAUCUCUCUAGCCAUGUUGCUACAUUUUGUAGCAGCACAGCAGACUAAUGGUUCUGUAUCUGUUGGUGCAUCACUCACAGCUACGCCUGAUGCUAAACCAUGGCUUUCGUCUUCUGGUGAAUUUGCCUUUGGAUUCAAACAAAUUCAAGGAACAGAUAAAUUUUUGUUAUCCAUAUGGUAUGACAAGAUUCCUAAUAAAACCAUCAUCUGGUAUCCAGAAGAUGGUCCAACGGUAGCUACAGGAUCCAAAGUUGACCUUGUUAAUAGGCGUGGGCUCGUACUCAGGGAUCCUCAAGGCAAAGAGGUAUGGAGUUCUGGGUCCAUUUCCGAUCUUGCAAACGGUUAUAUGAAUGAUACUGGUAACUUCGUGAUCGUGGGUAGAAAUUCUUCAAAUAUAUGGGAAAGUUUUGAUCAUCCAGCAGACACCAUAGUGCCUACUCAGGUUGUGGCUAGAGGUGGACCAGCAAUCAACUCCAGAAUGGGCGAAACAAACUUUGCUGGUGGAAAAUUCCAGUUACGUAUGCUUCUAGAUGGAAAUCUUGUUCUUAAUACUCGAGAUAGGUUUACUGGUACUCCUGAUAAUGCUUACUAUAUAAGUAACACUCUUGAUUCCACCAAUUCAACGAAUUCUGGUGACCAGUUGAUCUUUGAUGCAACGGGGUACAUGUAUAUAUUGAGAAGAAAUGGCCAAAGAGUUACUCUUACAGAAGACUCACCUCCUUCUGGAGAUUACUAUCACAGAGCUACUCUUGAUUCUGAUGGGGUUUUUACUCAAUACUACUAUCCAAAGAAUGGCACAGAGACUACAAGCUGGGAAGUUGCAUGGUUUGUUCCAGAAAACAUAUGCACGAGUAGAGACAGCAAAGCAUGUGGGCUAAACAAUGUAUGCAUCCUUGAUAACAAUCGACCAAGCUGUGAAUGCCCACAGGGGUUCUCAUUGAUUGAUCCCAAUACUACAAAUGGUGACUGCAAGCCUAAUUUCACUCCGAGUUGUGAUGAAAACGAGUCAAAUGAAGGGGAAGAUGUGUUUGAUUUCAUAGAGCUCACAAACAUUGAUUGGCCGUUUUCUGACUUUGUGAGCCUGAACCCGAGCGACGAACAAACCUGUAGAACUUCCUGCUUGAAAGAUUGUUUCUGUGCAGUUGCAAUUUACAGGGACAACCAAUGUUGGAAGAAGCAGCUUCCACUUACCAAUGGAUAUAAAGAUCCUGCAUAUAAUGUGAAGGCCCUCCUGAAAUAUAGAAAAAGUGAUGGUCCUUCUGGAACAGGAGAAAAUAGAGAAAAUAGAAGUGGAACUGGAAAAGAUAAAAGCAGAACAAGUUGGAUAUUCGUGGGAUCAGUUCUACUAGGUAUGUCUGCGCUAGUAAUUGUUGUGUUAAUUGUUGUGAUUUAUGUGUGUUUCUUUCAAAUCCAAAAGAAGAAGGUCGGAAAUCCACUUCCAUGUAGUACAAGUGUUGAAACUAACAUACCUCGUUUUACAUAUCAAGAACUAGUCAAUGCUACUGAUGGUUUCAAGAAAGAAUUGGGAAGGGGGGCUUUUGGGAUAGUCUAUAAAGGUGAAAUAGGGACAACAACCGUAGCGGUUAAGAAGCUGGAAACUGUGGUUCAAGAUGUCCAAAAGGAAUUCAAAACUGAGGUCAAUACAAUUGCAAGGACUCAUCACAAGAAUUUGGUGCAGCUUCUUGGCUAUUGUGAUGAUGAUGAGCAGAGGCUAUUGAUCUACGAAUACAUGAGUAACGGCACUUUGGCAGUGUUUCUUUUUGGAGACAAGAAACCUAGUUGGAAACAAAGGACCUAUAUCGCCGUCGGCGUUGCAAAGGGACUCACCUAUCUCCAUGAAGAUUGUAGCAACCGGAUCAUCCACUGUGAUAUAAAGCCUCAGAAUAUACUUCUUGAUGAUUACUACAAUGCUAAGAUUGCUGACUUUGGAUUGGCAAAACUUUUGAUGAUUAAUCAAAGUCGAACGAACACCGGAAUUAGAGGAACAAAAGGAUAUGUUGCUCCUGAAUGGUUUAGGAACACCCCUGUCACGUUCAAGGUUGAUGUCUAUAGCUUUGGUGUCUUGCUAUUCGAGAUCAUUUCAUGCCGAAAGAGUGUCGUUAUUGAUGAUGAUGCCGAAGAUGUGGCUGUUUUAACGGAUUUGGCAUGGGAUUGCUAUCAAGAAGGCAGGCUGGAUGCGUUCGUCGGGAAUGAUAUGGAGGCCUUGGAUGAUUUGGAGAAGCUAACAACAUUUAUGAUGGUUGGUCUUUGGUGUGUACAAGAAAAUCCUUCAAUGAGGCCAACCAUGAAAAAGGUCAUCCAAAUGCUUGAAGGAGAAAUUGAAGUGACCGAACCUCCAUGCCCAUUCCCUUUCUCUGUUACCACCAUCUAGUCUUCAAAUUGAUCUGCCAAAUUUGGGAUAAGAGGGUUAGAAGAAAUGGUGAUAUGAGAAAAAAAAAAAAACAAGUAAGUGAAAGCUCAUGGAGUCUUUUGCAUGAAUCUUUUGGGUGAUGCCUUUUAUUGGGUUUUCUUGUAUUUUUCCAUUUACUUUGGAUGUACAAGUCAAACCAUUGGUUGUUUAAACAUUUUUGUUGGAUGAAUAUUUUGAACUUAUUGUGUUUUAUUUGGGUCAUAUAGACCCUAAACUUGUUCC